UAGGGAAUCUUCGGCAAUGGACGAAAGUCUGACCGAGCAACGCCGCGUGGGUGAAGAAGGUUUUCGGAUCGUAAAACUCUGUUGUUAGAGAAGAACAAGGACGUUAGUAACUGAACGUCCCCUGACGGUAUCUAACCAGAAAGCCACGGCUAAAUACGUGCCAGCAACCGCGGUAAUACGUAGGUGGCAAGCGUUGUCCGGAUUUAUUGGGCGGAAAGCGGGCGCUGGCGGUUUAUUAAGAUUGAUGUGAAAGCCCCCGGCUCAACCGGGGAGGGUCAUUGGAAGCUGGGAGACUUGAGUGCAGAAGAGGAGAGUGGAAUUCCAUGUGUAGCGGUGAAAUGCGUAGAAAUAUGGAGGAACACCAGUGGCGAAGGCGGCUCUCUGGUCUGUAACUGACGCUGAGGCUCGAAAGCGUGGGGAGCAAACAGG
Molecule: ribosomal RNA, 429 nt
Filed under: Gemmatimonadota bacterium
Lineage: Bacteria; Pseudomonadati; Gemmatimonadota
Description: Gemmatimonadetes bacterium partial 16S ribosomal RNA
Rfam family: Bacterial small subunit ribosomal RNA
Source: RNAcentral